RNAcentral lists this ribosomal RNA (222 nucleotides) under uncultured bacterium. Its description in RNAcentral is "partial 16S ribosomal RNA". It matches the Rfam family "Bacterial small subunit ribosomal RNA", at positions 28 to 248 of the family's 1533-position model. The record is from RNAcentral.
GACGAACGCUGGCGGCGUGCUUAACACAUGCAAGUCGAGGCGGUAAGGCCCUUUCGGGGGUACACGAGCGGCGAACGGGUGAGUAACACGUGGGUGACCUGCCCUCAGCGUCUGGGAUAAGCCUGGGAAACCGGGUCUAAUACCGGAUAUGACGUCCAUGACGCAUGUUGUGGGGUGGAAAGCCUUGUGCGGCUGAGGAUGGGCCCGCGGCCUAUCAGCUUG